RNAcentral lists this ribosomal RNA (1245 nucleotides) under Triticum aestivum (bread wheat). RNAcentral's name for it is "partial small subunit ribosomal RNA". Lineage: Eukaryota; Viridiplantae; Streptophyta; Magnoliopsida; Poales; Poaceae. The record is from RNAcentral.
AUGCGAUGGACGGAGAUGCGUCGCGUGAGAACGCGGCCCAGAAGCGAGGCGAAACCGGUGCGACGGGGACGGGACAGCGCGACGGACAAACAAACGUACACGCCCGGAGUUGGAGUCCCCGUCCGCCGGCCCCUCCACACCGCGUGCACCAACCCGGUUCCGCACAAAAGGCGGCACCCCACCCGGCCGGGGCAGAGCAAGAGCAGAGCACACACCAGCAGUCCAUCCAGCCCAGCACCUCGCGCGCGCCAUCAGCUAGCUAGGAUAGGAUUGUCUCCCCGCGCUCACCGCCCGGCUCGCCGAGACCGCGGCGAGCUUUCUCAUCCCGCUCCGUCCACGCCGCGAUCGACACCCUUCCCUUUCCCCCGUCUCCCUCCUGGAAAUUCGGCACGUUCACACCGCCCCUAUAGCUGCCAGUACAAAACAGAGGCCAGCCUUCCUUGCACGGCUACUCUGCUAUCCCCUGCUCUACUCUGCUCUUCCCCUGAGACAGACGGCACACGCCCCGUUCCUUGCCCGACGUCCCGUGGAACGCCGACGCCGGCGCCUGAACCGAGGUCCUCUUGUCCGCGGCAGCUCACCGGAGCACGCGCGAGGCGCCGAGCGAUGAGCUGCCUGGGGUGGCUCAAGAAGAAGAAGGGGUCCGGGAGCGGGAGGCGGGGCACCACGAUGACGACCAUGACCACCACCACCACAACAACAACCACCGGGUCGGCGGUGAGCACGAGCCGGUCGGACGACUCGGGGGCGGGGCGGCCCACCAGCAAGUCCACGGGCUCCGCCUCCUCGCAGCGGAGCAUCUCCUCGCUCUACGAGGAGCGCGGCCACGGCCAGCUGCGGGCCUUCGAGUACGACGAGCUCCAGGCCGCCACCAACGACUUCGGCCGCGCGCAAAAGCUCGGCGAGGGCGGCUUCGGCGGCGUCUACAAGGGCUUCGUCCGCCCGCUCGACCCCCGGGCCGACCGCAUCGCCGUCGCCGUCAAGCGCCUCAACACGCGCGGCCUCCAGGUACGCUCCCCCACCCACCCAUGCCGCCAUGCCGCCAUCCCUCCCUCCAUCUACGAGCGAAUUACGUACAGUAGUUUCCUAUUCUGUUCUGCUCCCCGCGUGAUUCAGUGUCCAAUUAUUUACGCACACCCAGUUUUGUCAGAGUUUUGGGGGCAUCAGAAUGUGACUGAAUCUAAAGAAAUUUCCCCCGGACAAAGAAGCAUCCCACUUAUUUUGAGAAUUUGUUUCCGAUCAUAA